CUAGAGUUAGUCUGUUAGUUGACAGGGGGUAGUCCAGACUAGGAUGUGGUACUAGAGUUAGUCUGUUAGUUGACAGGGUGUAGUCCAGACUAGGGUUUGGGGUGUUUUACUGUCAGACGGCUGUGUGAACAGAACAGAGCUGUGUGAGCUUAAUGGUUACAGCAUCGACCCACUCCACUUCAGCCUGGGGGGGGGCUGUAUGCUCCCAUACAGUACACUAUACUCAUGACAUAACCUUUAACCUUUAACCUCUUCUCUAGAUUUUGUAUUUGUUAAUGUAUUUAUUUCUGUAUUUAUUUUGCCAACUUAAGUUUCUCUUUUCAACUGUUACUGCAGAUACUGUUUACCUGUAUGUCUACAUGGAAUGGAAAUAGCCAAAGAUUGACUAGUUUGUUUAUUUUGUUGGGGGGGGGGGCAGUUAUUUAGACUUUUUAUAAAUCUCAUGUCCAGAUACACACCUCUUGAUGAACAAAUGUUAGAGUAUGUUAACUACCUCCCCUUUCUUCCCAGGUAAUGUUUAGAAGUGUCUGUCCCACCCCUAUCAUUACCACAAACACACGGGGUGUUAUUAAUGACCUCUGUCAGCUGUCAAUCAUCCUCUUACUGAGACCUGACUCUCAUGUUAGCCCCACCCCCCAAAAAAAGUUCCACCAUUGCUCAUUGGUGGAGUUAGUUUUGCAUGGCCCCGGUGCCUUGUGUGGGUGGAGAUUUCACUUAAGAACCAAUGGAAUGGUCUAAAAUGAGCAAACCCAGGCCAUCGGACCAUGCAAAAUUAACUCCACCAAUCAUCGGGCGUUCUGUGAAUGUCACAAAUAUUACCUGCCUGCCAUUGGCUGGAAGAGAAAAUUGAAAGGUGGGCCAUCCAAUAAUAUCACGUAGAUGGAGAAGGGGGUGGAUGGAGUAUGCACCACGUGCCAAGUAAUGCAGUGUUCACUUGAUUUGUUCCUGUCUUUCAUUUAGUUUCUUUCGUUUUCUUUGUUUGUUUUUUUGACAAGUGAACUCUGACACUCAAACUGUUUUAAUCUCACUGUAAGUUAGAAAACCAUAACAGCAGUUUGUAAAGAAAGUCCUAACACCAGAGCAUGUAUUUACAGUACAAUCAAAAUAAACUAGACCUUGAGUUGUGCAUUUUUAUGUAUGAAAAGAUUAAUAUACGUAAAGUAUGCAUCAUUCAUAUUAUAAUGCUGCGAAAAUGUUGAAUAUACUUGUACUAAUAUUAGAAUUUUGUAUAUAAAGUAUUAAUGAGUAAUCUC
Oncorhynchus tshawytscha (Chinook salmon) is the source of this 1253-nucleotide long non-coding RNA. Lineage: Eukaryota; Metazoa; Chordata; Actinopteri; Salmoniformes; Salmonidae. The record is from Ensembl.